UGGCAUGGGAAAGUGGGUCCAUCUGAACUGUUUACUGUUUGUUCAUCGAUUAGCAGAAGAGUCCAGGACAAACGCUUGUGCGAGUAAAUGUAGAGUCAUUAACAAGGAGCAUGUACUGGCCGCAGCAAAGGUAAUUCUAAAGAAGAGCAGAGGUUAGAAGUCAAAGAACAUAUUCUUGAAAGUUAUGAUGCAUUCUUUUGGGUGGUAACAGAUCAUAAAGACAUUUUUUACACAUCAGUUAAUAUGGGAUUAUUAAAUAUUGGCUAUAAGUGAUGUGUGUGUUUGUAUUUUUUUUCUGGCAUGAAAUAUCUCAAGUAAAUGCAUAG
This 326-nucleotide long non-coding RNA is filed under the name Homo sapiens (human). Its description in RNAcentral is "HSALNT0112923". The record is from RNAcentral. Lineage: Eukaryota; Metazoa; Chordata; Mammalia; Primates; Hominidae.